UUUCCUACGGGGGGCAGCAGUGAGGAAUAUUGGUCAAUGGGCGCGAGCCUGAACCAGCCAAGUAGCGUGAAGGAUGACUGCCCUACGGGUUGUAAACUUCUUUUAUAAAGGAAUAAAGUGAGGCACGUGUGCCUUUUUGUAUGUACUUUAUGAAUAAGGAUCGGCUAACUCCGUGCCAGCAGCCGCGGUAAUACGGAGGAUCCGAGCGUUAUCCGGAUUUAUUGGGUUUAAAGGGUGCGUAGGCGGAUUUUUAAGUCAGCGGUAAAAUGUCCGGGCUCAACCCGGGCCGGCCGUUGAAACUGGGG
Molecule: ribosomal RNA, 305 nt
Filed under: uncultured bacterium
Lineage: Bacteria
Description: bacterial SSU rRNA
Rfam family: Bacterial small subunit ribosomal RNA
Source: RNAcentral